Molecule: ribosomal RNA, 1698 nt
Filed under: Triticum aestivum (bread wheat)
Lineage: Eukaryota; Viridiplantae; Streptophyta; Magnoliopsida; Poales; Poaceae
Description: partial small subunit ribosomal RNA
Source: RNAcentral
AUGGACCAGCGGCUCUUGACAGCGGCCGCAUCCGGUGAUUCCACGUCAAUGAAGGAGAUGGCCUCGCAAGAUCCAAGCAUUCUUCUUGGAACAACUCUAGCUGGGAACAGCUGCCUUCACAUAUCCUCCAUCCAUGGGCACCAGGCAUUCUGUACGGAUGUGGUAGAACUGGAGGAGUCUCUCCUCGCCGCUUUAAACCUGGAAGGGGAGACACCACUUCUCACCGCAGUGACUAGUGGACACGUCUCCCUGGCUUCCGUUCUACUCCAAUGCUACCGUGCACAGGGAUUGAGCGAGUCAAUCUUGGAGCAAGACAUCGAUGGUUGUAACGCACUGCACCAUGCCAUUCGCAACGGCCACAGGGAGCUUGCCCUGGAGCUCAUAGAAGCAAAACCCGCCCUGUCGACACAUGUGAACAUUUGGAGCGAGUCACCCAUGUACAUUGCGGCGUUGAGGGAUUUUAUUGAUGUUUCAGAGAAAUUACUUGAAAUUCCCGAUUCUGCUCAUACAGGACCAUACGGCUACAACACUGUGCGGGCUGCCGUGAGAAAUGGAAACCCAGUUUUGGCUAAAAGAAUUAUGGAAACACGUCCUUGGCUGGCCAGAGAAGCUGACAACGAUGGGCAUACUCCACUAAGUGCAGCUGUAUGUUAUGACCAGAUUGGCGUGCUACGAGUAUUGCUGGAGCAUGAUUGCUCUUUAGGGUAUGAGUUGCCACGUGAUGGUUCCCCUCUCCUCAGUGAAGCUGCAAUUGGAGGUCAUAUCGCUGUUGCUCAAGAGCUUCUUAAACACUGUCCCGAUGCUACUUACCGUGCAACAAAAGGUCUGUGUUGGACAUCCCUUCAUACAGCUGUAUGGUAUGAUCAAGUGGAGUUUGCCGAAUUCAUAAUGAGGACCUCACAAUUACGCAAGCUCGUCAACAUGCAAGACAUGAACGGGAGAACUGCUCUACAUGGCGCAUUACAGAAGUGCAGUCCUAAAAUGGUUGCUGCUCUGCUGUCUCACAAAGGUAUAGACACAAUAGUCAUUGAUAAUAGGGGUACACCACCAACUUUGGAGUUGUCGGCCUUCACGGAUCAUGCCAAAACAUUAAACUGGAAUGAAGUGCGUAUGCUUAUGCUGAGAGCUGAUCCCCGAGAUGCCGCCUCUUUUUAUAAUCUUCAAAGGAAAACCAAACUAGAAGCGACCGAGGCAUCAAGGAAGGAAGCAAAAUCACUAACUCAAACAUACACAAGAAACACUUCGUUAGUGGCGAUUCUCAUUGCGACAAUCACCUUCGCCGCUGCCUUCACCCUUCCUGGAGGAUACAUCAACGGUGCUGGAAGCGAGGGACUUCCCAUCAUGUCUAGGAAGUUUGCAUUCCAGGCAUUCUUGAUUUCUGACGUCUUAGCAAUGUGCUCCUCAUUUGUUGUGGCCUUCAUAUGCAUCAUAGCAAGGUGGGAGGAUUAUGAGUUCUUGCUUUAUUACAGAUCCUUCACUAAGAAGCUCAUGUGGUUUGCAUACGUGGCAACUACUACGGCUUUUUCAACUGGUUUAUACACAGUGCUUGCUCCACGUGUCCACUGGUUGGCUAUUGCAAUUUGCGUCAUGGUAGCUUUGUUGCCGAUUCUAACUAAGCUACUCUGUGAAUGGCCUGUCUUGAAGCUCAGACAUCGGUUGGGUAAAGCUUUCAAUUCUGAUUUGCUUGACAUGGUGUAA